This 6425-nucleotide long non-coding RNA is filed under the name Populus tremula. RNAcentral describes it as "long non-coding RNA (PTRE_LNC001996)". The record is from RNAcentral. Lineage: Eukaryota; Viridiplantae; Streptophyta; Magnoliopsida; Malpighiales; Salicaceae.
GAAACACUGUGUUGACAUGUAAGAUCACACAUGAAGAUUUAUUAGUCAUUUUAUAAUAGCAGGGGUCCUAAUAUUUUAGCCCAAUCACAAACGGCGAGGGGAGGGGGGGGGGGCGUGGUGAUAAAAAUCACAUGCAGGCAAAAGUUUGAACCACAAAUUAUGCAUCACUAGCCACUGGUACUUCCUCGUAUCCUUCUAGCUCCUUGAAUCUUUUUGGCAGGAAACAACGACCACCGAAGCGCUGCUGCAGGUAGACGAUAGCAGCAAGAAGAAGGCCCACUAGAGGAAUAAUGACAUCCCAUACAGUGGAAUAAUAAUCUCCACCUGGGUCGGCAUACAUGUAUGAACCAUCAAAAUCUUCAACAUAGGAGUGAACCCUGUAUAUAUCGUAUGCAUGCGGGAGCAAACGCACAAAUGUGGUUCCUAUGUAGAAGAAACGAGAGAGGGCAUUUUCUGUGGAGUUGUGGAAAAUGUUGAGGAGGAUUUGAGGGAAGAGAAAACCAUCGAGUACCAAACCACCAUAAGAUCUUAAAUCCACCCAAUGGGAACGCUGAUAGGUGCUGCUGUAAGUGUACUCCAUGCCCUCACCGACCUUGUUGUUCCUCCAAUUCACAUACACAGCAAUUGAACCUCCAGAUAUAUAUAGUGGCAGAGACAGAUAGAGUGUCCUCUUCUCAGCAGCCAAGAACGCCUUUCGCUUCCCAUCAGCGAAUCGUGCAGACCAUACAAGCUGCAGAAGUCGGAACUGCAGCAGGAAAGCUACCAUCGUGAUUACCCUUACAAUUACCUCAUUCGCUUCCAACCAUCCACCACUCCGUAGAAGGAAUGUUGUGCGACUUUCCUUUGGCACAAACAAAGCUUCAAAAUUCAGCAUUAGAGGGAUCAUGCGCCCGAGAGUAAGGACUAGAAGCAUGAUAAGUGAGAUGAAAGGGAAAACAGCGGGAUGCUUUUUCACAUACAAGAUCUGGUAUCCCACAAAGACACAAACGAGAGUAUUAGAGAUCAAAGACAUGAUGAUCUCCCGAUCCAUCCUCCAUAUUGACUCCCUCGCUGCAGAAAAAGAAAGAGGCUCGAAGUACAGAGGAUCGGAUUUUUCCCCUGUGUAUUCAAUGGUUCCCUGGAUAUAAUCAUUUGAAUCUACUGAAGGGAACUGGACAUUUAUAAGAAUCUUACAGUCCAUUGAAUCAUUGUCUGAUGUCCGAUUGUUUGAGUCAAGAUAUCUGCAGCCCACCAUGCAAAGUUCUCCUGUUUCAGCAUCAUAAAUUCCUUCAGAGAAGACUUGAACAUGAGUAGACUCAUUCAGCGGGAAGCUCAUGCUGUAGCUCAUGUUCAGUGGGAUGCUGUGGUUGGUUUUUCCUUUAACCGGAGAGGAAGCACCCCUCAAGCUUGAUGAAAUCACAAAGCUGUUUUGUCGAGAAAUUUGAUCACCCACAGCGAUGGGCCGAGAGGAGCCCUAUCCUAUUCUUCUUCUCUUGGAGUCCCUGACCACCAUAUUGAACUCCAUGUCAUUCGAAUUUGCAUCUGGAUGCUGCUUUCCUUUGUUCUUUAUGGGCUGCUUCCCUGAGCAUGACGUUCUUGCUUUAUCAACAACAGUGUACUGGUACUUCGACCCGGGGAUCCCAGCUACAAAAUUUUCAUGACUUCGAAACAUGAUCGUAUUGAAGUAACCCAGAUCAUUCUCACGUUUGUUACUCCAAAUAUGCCCCAUCAUACCACUAGUAUUUCUGAUUGACCAAACGGCAGGGAAUCUGAAACUCAACCUCACUGAACAAUCCUCAAUAUGAGAUUUAUUGAACGAGUUGGCUGAAUUCAAGAUUCGACAGCCAACAACACAUAGCUGAUUCUUAUUCACAUCCCAUGAUCCUUCCGCAACCAAUGUUGUGUUUGGAGUGAAGGGGUGGUAAUAAUCACCAUAGCUACUGUUGUGGAACUCUAUCAGGAAUCUCAAUCUUCGUUUAUCUUCUAAACAUUGAAUUAAUUUCAAGGACAUGAUUUGUGGUAAAUAUCCAACACCCUCACCAAAAGGAUUGCAACUACUUGUGGAGUUGCAACCCCUUGAAUACUCCAGUUUAAAAAAAGUAUGCCGACGAGAGAAUGCAUUGCAAAUAGGUGUACUCAGCUUUAAGCUUAGUGACAAACUCUUUGGAACAUCAAUCCCCCCGGUACAGACAUGAUCGAGUGCUUUUCCAACCUCAGUGAACUCGUAAUUAUUUUGAGGGAACAUCAACAAGGAGAUUGGCUUAAAAUAUCCUGAAUCACCAGCAGUACUCGAGCUUUCCAAUAUUCCCCUCACCAAACUACUGAUAGUGCUUGAUUUUCUAACUUCAUCAAGCUUAAGUAGAGCGGCAAGAACAACAUGUUCACCCUCCUCUGAGUAAGUAGAACCAGAGCCCACCAUGCAAAGCUUGCCGGUAGAUACUGACCAGAACCCUUCUACUUCAAAACUCAAAGGACCCCUCGGAGAUCUGUCGUCGUACAUGUAAAACUCCAUAUCCGAGGUUUUCAGGAUCAAACUCGCCUCAACCUUAAAGACACCAUCAACAUCAGUGCUAUAGACACUGUGGGUAUGAAUGAAUAGCUCUCUUCUGUUACUCGAUGGAUAAUGGUGAAGAGAUGAGUUUGGAUGAUUCAAUAUGUCAUCCCCACCUAGAAAGUACCCACCUUGGUCUGCAGCAAAAGGGAUGGUGGUGAAUUCUGGAACAUCAUUGGGAGUUGAUUCAGGGACAAUUGAGGCACAGUGUUUGUUGUAAUUAGGGAUGUCAAGUUUGGAGGAAGAGACCAUGGGGGUGUAAAAGGUGGUCGACAGGACCAGGAACAUUGCGACGUGAAGCCAUGAUAGAUAACACCAUGUGCUUGGAGAGGAAUUAGAGGUCAUCAUCAGAUAUUUCUUGGACUAUGAGGAUGGUAAGGCUGGUCUGAACAUCUGGUGGAAUGAAGCGGCGGAUAUUUACUAGACUAGAGGUAGCAGUCAUCCGGCAAAGUUUUCUUGCUUUUAAGAACCACGCAGGACUGAAAUCUACGCAAAUGGAGAACACAUCUGCUCCUGAUUAAGAUGAGUGACAACUGGGAGUACCGGGUCAUAUUUGAAGAGUAAACGCUGGUUGUGCUUGAUUUUUUAUUGAAUAAAUAAAAAUAGUAAAGUAUAAACUCAAUAAUUAUCAAAAUUCUUAUUAUAUAAAAAAAUUAUCUUAAUUUAAUAAUUUAAUUUAUUAAAUAAAAUUUAUAUUAUUCUCUAAUAUAUUAUUAAAAAUCAAACACAAUUAUAAAUAUAAAAAAAUUAUUAUUCAUGAAAUAAAUAAGCCAUGUCAAUUGUCUUGGGAUAGCACCAUAGAGUCAAUGGAUCUCUAACAACAAUUAGGAUUGGUGUUUGGUUAAAUUUAGAUGAGAUAGAUUUGAUAAUUUAUGUUUAACUCAUGAUUAAACACAAGUAUAUUAAGAUUAAUAAUUCACAAAAUUUAGUUAUUGAAUUCAAAUAUAUUGAAUUCGAUAUUUUGCUAGACUCAUGAUGAUUCUCUAGGCUCAAUAAAUAACUGAAUCUAAACAUAUUAAUUCUCAUAUUUCGCUAAAUUCAUGAUCCUCGAAGCUUAAUUCGUAGGUAAACUUAAGUAUAUUAGAUGUAGUAUUAUCAUCAUCAUGUUUAAUUGAGUUAUUAUCUUGUUACAAGGCUGAGCUCUUUUAACACAUAAAAAUAAAAAAUAAAAAUAAAAAUUGUCAUAACACAUGGUUUAUGCCAUAAUCAGUAUAGAUAUUCUUGGAUUUGUUGUUUGGGUCAUUAUAUGUUUAACGUAGACUUAGGCAUUGAUAAAUUCUUUUUUUCAUAAAUUCUUUUCUUAAAAUAGCAAAAAAAUAUGUUUAUAUACAAGUAAAAUAUCCUAAAUAGUGAAAUCCUUAUUAAAUUAAAAGUUUUUCUUAUUAAAUAAGAAUAGAAAUUCCUAAUUUUAACUUGAAAACGAAAACAACUAGCAAGCUAGCUGCUCCUGUGUAUAUAGAAUUUUAGAAAAAUCUAGAAAAAAUUAAAUCUGAUUUAAUAAUAGAACAAAAAAACUAUGCUUAUUUUUAACAAUUAAGAAAAAUAAGUAUCCAAGAAUAAUGAAAAUAGGGCCGCCGAAGUCGGUAGUCAAUGAAUCUUUGCACAUGGAGAGGUGUAACAUUUAUUAAUUAGUUCUGAAUCCAAUUGACAUAAAUUAAAUGCUACAUUUAAGGUGCAUCACGGGGCAUAUCGGAUUAUCAUGAUAAAACUGAUUAAAUUAAUUAAUCUAAAUGAAUUUCUACAUUAUUCAUCAAAAAAACAAAAAAAAAAUAAGAAAUUUAAAAUGUCAGAGAUUUCAUUUUCAGCAAAAGAGCAAAGACUUGGAACUUUCCAAGCAAAUCCAAGUCUACUCUACGCAAGUGAUAUGUCGUUGAGGUUUUGUAUAACAAGACAAAUGGAGUUGACCAUGGAGGUCUUGCGACCCAAUUUUUAUGCUAGGUUUUUUAAUAUAUAUAUAUAUUACUGAAAAAUAUUUUGUAGAUAUUCCAUAUUUGUUUUUUUAAAAUAUAUAUUUUUUAUAUUUUUUGCUGUAAAAAAUAUUAUAUAUUGAUCAAGAAAAAAUAUUUUAUAAUUAAUCUUUGAAACUUAAUUUAUUUAUUAAAAAUUAUUUUCAAAUUAUAAAGUCUCAUAAAGUAUUUUAAAAAUAAUAAUUAUUUUAUAAUAUCAUCUAAUAAUUUCAACUAUAUUGUCAUCAAUAUCUUAAUACCUUCUUUUUUUUUUUUAUCAUUACCACAAAUAUUUUUAUCUCAUCUCAUCUCAUUAUUACUAUUAUCAUCAUCUUAAUAUUUUUUUUAUAUUUGUAGCUGUAAAAUAUUUUAUAUUGAUUAAGAAAAAAUAUUUUAUUGUUAAUCUUCAAACUUAAUUUAUUUAUUAAAAAAUAUUUUCAACUCAUAAAAUAUUAUAAAAUAUUUAUAAAUAAUUAUUAUUUUACAAUAUCAUUUAACAAUUUCAAUUAAUAUCUCCAUUUCAUUAUCACCUUAUAAUCACCUUCUUCUUUUUCUAAUUUUUUUUAUUGUCAUCACCAUUUUAAUAUCACUUUUCUUUUUAUCAUUAUCACGAUUAUUUUUAUCUCAUCUUGUUAUUACUAUUAUCGCAACUAGAACCACCUUUUUUUUUAUUAUCGUUGAAUUAAUUUGGUGAUGAAUGCAGAAAUCGAUGUAUUGGCUCAUAGUAAGACGUGGUCUCUGGUUUAUUUUGAUCAGUCAAUGAAUAUUGUUUGCUGCAAGUGGGUGUUCAAUAUUAAACAGAAAGCUAAUGACUCUUAUUAAUUAGCAUUUUAAGGCUUUGUUUGGUAGCCAAAAGGUCUAAUCACAAAAAAAAAAAAAAAAACAUUUUGACUUUGAUGACACUUUCAGUGAUCUGGCAACCACUGCUUGAACCAAUUUGUUUCCUGCUUUUAUAUAUAAAAAAAAAUCCAGGACUUAACUGAACCGAGCUGAACCAAUUUGGUUUGAACAAAAUUUCAGUUUGCUCUAGUUUAUAUUUUUCCUAGUGCAAGCUUGAAAUUGCACGCAGUUGUUUAGCCUUGCAAUGUUUAUAUCUGUGCCUGUUGUAAAAUUUGAUGAUAUCCAGGUUAAAAACCUUAAAAUCUACACACACAUAUAAUGGUUACAUAAUUUAUCCACAAUGAACAGCGUUUUCAAUCAAAUAAUCAACUUGACGUUUUCCAAUUUCACAACAGAGCACAAAGACUUUCUACCAACGGAGUUAACACUUGCCAUCUAUCUUUUAAGUUCAACAGCAACGAUGAAAAUGGCCGAAAUCGUAUGAUGCUUCUCCGUAUUUCACCCCAAAUCUGAGCAAAGACUCAUGUUUAAUGGAGUUGAAGCUGUUAAAACGCACCUUCAUUUACUACAAACAGGAAGCUACAAAGCUUCAACUCAUGUUUAGUGCAUCUUGAAUUGCUAGAGCAUAUAAAUUGUCUUCCAGUCUACUUGUAAUUACGAAUGAAGAUAUGAUCAUGCAGGGAAGUCUUUGCAAGCAAGAGAUAUAUAAAGUCAGGAUUUGGAAUCGGCAGCAUUCACAACAUAAACCUUUUCGCUUCCACAGAUGUAUAUACACACAGGUAGAAACACUGUGUUGACAUGUAAAAUCACACAUGAAGAUUUAUUAGUCAUUUUAUAAAAUCACAUGCUCGCAAAAGUUUGAACCACAAAUUAUGCAUCACUAGCCACUGGUACUUCCUCGUAUCCUUCUAGCUCCUUGAAUCUUUUUGGCAGGAAACAACGACCACCGAAGCGCUGCUGCAGGUAGACGAUAGCAGCAAGAAGAAGGCCCACUAGAGGAAUAAUGAGAUCCCAUGCAGUGGAAUAAUAAUCUCCACCUGGGUUGGCAUACAUGUAUGAACCAUCAAAAUCUUCAACAUAGUAGUUAGCCCUGUAUAGAUCGUAUGCAU